RNAcentral lists this ribosomal RNA (492 nucleotides) under uncultured bacterium. RNAcentral describes it as "partial 16S ribosomal RNA". It matches the Rfam family "Bacterial small subunit ribosomal RNA", at positions 29 to 507 of the family's 1533-position model. The record is from RNAcentral.
AGUGAACGCUGGCGGUAGGCCUAACACAUGCAAGUCGAACGGAAGCACAGUAAGAGCUUGCUCUUACGGGUGGCGAGUGGCGGACGGGUGAGGAGUACAUCGGAAUCUAAUUUUUCGUGGGGGAUAACGUAGGGACACUUACGAUAAUACCGCAUACGAUCUACGGGUGAAAGCAGGGGAUCUUCGGACCUUGCGCGAUUCAAUGAGCCGAUGUCGGAUUAGCUAGUUGGCGGGGUAAAGGCCCACCAAGGCGACGAUACGUAGCUGGUCUGAGAGGAUGAUCAGCCACACUGGAACUGAGACACGGUCCAGACUCCUACGGGAGGCAGCAGUGGGGAAUAUUGGACAAUGGGCGCAAGCCUGAUCCGGCCAUACCGCGUGAGUGAAGAAGGCCUUCGGGUUGUAAAGCCCUUUUGUUGGGAAAGAAAAGCAGCAUGUUAAUACCCCGCUGUUCUGACGGUACCCAAAGAAUAAGCACCGGCUAACUUCGUG